RNAcentral lists this unclassified non-coding RNA (262 nucleotides) under Hevea brasiliensis (rubber tree). Lineage: Eukaryota; Viridiplantae; Streptophyta; Magnoliopsida; Malpighiales; Euphorbiaceae. The record is from RNAcentral.
AAAUUCUGGUAAUAAAUCAUAGAUUUAAGCAGAUAAAACAGCUGGCUUCUGUGUUGCCUCUUCUGCCUGCAAGCUCUCAUAAUAUUUGACAAGGACUUCCCAACCGCCAGCAGGGCACAAAAAACCAUCUGGAGGGUUCGUAGCCCUUUCUUGCAUAAGUCCGCAUCUGCAACAAAACAAUGAGCAUACCCUAAACCAUAUAGGUUGUUUAUAUGACAUGAUUGUUUCCAACACCAUUUAGAUAUAAAAUCUUCAACAUUCA